Molecule: ribosomal RNA, 468 nt
Filed under: uncultured bacterium
Lineage: Bacteria
Description: partial 16S ribosomal RNA
Rfam family: Bacterial small subunit ribosomal RNA
Source: RNAcentral
GACGAACGCUGGCGGCGUGCUUAACACAUGCAAGUCGAACGGAAUGUCCCUGCUUUUUUGCGGUGCUCGGGUUGCGACGUGGUGAGUAACACUUUAGUAACCUGCCCUUCACUUUGGGAUAUCUUCAUGAAACUUGGGCUAAUACCGGAUAGGAUCUCCUGCUGCUUGGUGGGGGUUGGAAUGUUUCGGCGGUUGGGGAUGUACUCGCGGCUUAUCAGCUUGUUGGUUGGGUAGUGGCUUACCAAGGCUUUGACCGGUAGACGGCCUGAGAGGGUGACCGGCCACAUUAGGACUGAGAUAAGGCCCAGACCACUACGGGAGGCAGCAGUGGAGAAUAUUACACAAUGGGCGGAAGCAUGAUGCAGCAAAGCCGCGUGCGGGAUGACGGCAUUCGGGUUGUAAACCGCUUUCGCCUGUGACGAAGCGUGAGUGACGGUAAUGGGUAAAGAAGCACCGGCUAACUACGUG